AUGAUUUCUUCAACGUCCAGAUUUGGCAUACCCUGUGGCCUCAAGACUCUACUCGAAGGAAUUAGCAGAGCCACUAUCAAAAGCAACCCAUCAACCAGUUUGCAGUAGUUUAUUUUAAAGAACUUACUAUGUAUAGAGAAGGGAAUGCUUCUCUGGAUAUAAAGGAUUUGGUUAAACAGUUUUAUCAGAUUAAAGUACAGAAGUGGUCAGAAGGAUCGAUAUGACCGAAGAAAGUAGAAUGUUUAAAAGAACCAGAAAAAAGAUCUGUAGAAUCUGAAGUACCUACAUGGAUGGGAAAAUCUACAGACACAGAGGAGGACAAUGUAACCGGAACAGGAUAUAGUGACAAAACCACCCAGUUUCCAUCAACUUAUGCUGAGCUAGGCGCUGAGCAAACUGAAGCAGUUCAUGAUUCUUCUCCCAAAGCAGCUACCCCUAAGACUACUACCCAACCCUCCUCACCACCUCCAACAGCUGUCUCACCAGAGUUUGCCUAUGUCCCAGCUGACCCAGCUCAGCUUGCUGCUCAGAUGUUAGAAGAUGUAGCUAAAAAAAGUUCAGGAUCUGGUGACAAAUGUGCUCCCUUUGGAAGUUACGGUAUUGCUGGGGAGAUAACUGUGGCUACUGCUCACAAAGUUCGCAAAGCAGAAACUGAAAACUGGUAG
Molecule: non-coding RNA, 665 nt
Organism: Saimiri boliviensis boliviensis (Bolivian squirrel monkey)
Lineage: Eukaryota; Metazoa; Chordata; Mammalia; Primates; Cebidae
Source: RefSeq, a predicted model, not a curated record